RNAcentral lists this ribosomal RNA (466 nucleotides) under uncultured bacterium. RNAcentral describes it as "partial 16S ribosomal RNA". It matches the Rfam family "Bacterial small subunit ribosomal RNA", at positions 28 to 507 of the family's 1533-position model. The record is from RNAcentral.
GAUGAACGCUGGCGGCGUGCUUAACACAUGCAAGUCGAACGAUGAAGCCCAGCUUGCUGGGUGGAUUAGCGGCGAACGGGUGAGUAACACGUGAGUAACCUGCCCUUGACUCUGGGAUAAGCGCUGGAAACGGCGUCUAAUACCGGAUACGAGCUUCCACCGCAUGGUGAGUUGCUGGAAAGAAUUUCGGUCAAGGAUGGACUCGCGGCCUAUCAGGUAGUUGGUGAGGUAACGGCUCACCAAGCCGACGACGGGUAGCCGGCCUGAGAGGGUGACCGGCCACACUGGGACUGAGACACGGCCCAGACUCCUACGGGAGGCAGCAGUGGGGAAUAUUGCACAAUGGGCGCAAGCCUGAUGCAGCAACGCCGCGUGAGGGACGAAGGCCUUCGGGUCGUAAACCUCUUUUAGCAGGGAAGAAGCGAAAGUGACGGUACCUGCAGAAAAAGCACCGGCUAACUACGUG